This 253-nucleotide ribosomal RNA is filed under the name uncultured bacterium. Its description in RNAcentral is "partial 16S ribosomal RNA". It matches the Rfam family "Bacterial small subunit ribosomal RNA", at positions 524 to 776 of the family's 1533-position model. The record is from RNAcentral.
UACGUAGGGCGCAAGCGUUGUCCGGAAUUAUUGGGCGUAAAGAGCUCGUAGGCGGCCUGUUACGUCUGCUGUGAAAUCCCGGGGCUUAACCCCGGGCGUGCAGUGGAUACGGGCAGGCUGGAGGCAGGCAGGGGAGAACGGAAUUCCCGGUGUAGCGGUGAAAUGCGUAGAGAUCGGAAGGAACACCAGUGGCGAAGGCGGCUACCUGGCCUAAUACUGACACUGAGGAACGAAAGCGUGGGGAGCAAACAGG